AUACUUACCUGGCAUAGAAGUUAACCGUGAUCAAUAAGGCGGUUCUUCCAGGGCGAGGCCUUUCCAUUGCACUUCGGAUGGGCUGACCUCUGCGAGUAUCCCAAAUGUGGAUACCUCGGAUGUAUAAUUUUUGAUAGUCGGGACUGCGUUCGCGCUGUCCCGG
RNAcentral lists this small nuclear RNA (163 nucleotides) under Thrips palmi. Its description in RNAcentral is "U1 spliceosomal RNA". It matches the Rfam family "U1 spliceosomal RNA". Rfam says of the family: U1 is a small nuclear RNA (snRNA) component of the spliceosome (involved in pre-mRNA splicing). The record is from Rfam by way of RNAcentral. Lineage: Eukaryota; Metazoa; Arthropoda; Insecta; Thysanoptera; Thripidae.